Molecule: ribosomal RNA, 2926 nt
Filed under: Salmonella enterica subsp. enterica serovar Senftenberg str. CFSAN004025
Lineage: Bacteria; Pseudomonadati; Pseudomonadota; Gammaproteobacteria; Enterobacterales; Enterobacteriaceae
Description: 23S ribosomal RNA
Rfam family: Bacterial large subunit ribosomal RNA
Source: RNAcentral
GGGUUGUGAGGUUAAGCGACUAAGCGUACACGGUGGAUGCCCUGGCAGUCAGAGGCGAUGAAGGACGUGCUAAUCUGCGAUAAGCGCCGGUAAGGUGAUAUGAACCGUUAUAACCGGCGAUUUCCGAAUGGGGAAACCCAGUGUGACUCGUCACACUAUCAUUAACUGAAUCCAUAGGUUAAUGAGGCGAACCGGGGGAACUGAAACAUCUAAGUACCCCGAGGAAAAGAAAUCAACCGAGAUUCCCCCAGUAGCGGCGAGCGAACGGGGAGGAGCCCAGAGCCUGAAUCAGCAUGUGUGUUAGUGGAAGCGUCUGGAAAGGCGCGCGAUACAGGGUGACAGCCCCGUACACAAAAGCGCAUGUGCUGUGAGCUCGAUGAGUAGGGCGGGACACGUGGUAUCCUGUCUGAAUAUGGGGGGACCAUCCUCCAAGGCUAAAUACUCCUGACUGACCGAUAGUGAACCAGUACCGUGAGGGAAAGGCGAAAAGAACCCCGGCGAGGGGAGUGAAAAAGAACCUGAAACCGUGUACGUACAAGCAGUGGGAGCACAGGUUUACCUGUGUGACUGCGUACCUUUUGUAUAAUGGGUCAGCGACUUAUAUUCUGUAGCAAGGUUAACCGAAUAGGGGAGCCGGAGGGAAACCGAGUCUUAAUUGGGCGUUAAGUUGCAGGGUAUAGACCCGAAACCCGGUGAUCUAGCCAUGGGCAGGUUGAAGGUUGGGUAACACUAACUGGAGGACCGAACCGACUAAUGUUGAAAAAUUAGCGGAUGACCUGUGGCUGGGGGUGAAAGGCCAAUCAAACCGGGAGAUAGCUGGUUCUCCCCGAAAGCUAUUUAGGUAGCGCCUCGUGAAUUCAUCUCCGGGGGUAGAGCACUGUUUCGGCUAGGGGGCCAUCCCGGCUUACCAACCCGAUGCAAACUGCGAAUACCGGAGAAUGUUAUCACGGGAGACACACGGCGGGUGCUAACGUCCGUCGUGAAGAGGGAAACAACCCAGACCGCCAGCUAAGGUCCCAAAGUCAUGGUUAAGUGGGAAACGAUGUGGGAAGGCCCAGACAGCCAGGAUGUUGGCUUAGAAGCAGCCAUCAUUUAAAGAAAGCGUAAUAGCUCACUGGUCGAGUCGGCCUGCGCGGAAGAUGUAACGGGGCUAAACCAUGCACCGAAGCUGCGGCAGCGACACUGUGUGUUGUUGGGUAGGGGAGCGUUCUGUAAGCCUGUGAAGGUGGCCUGUGAGGGUUGCUGGAGGUAUCAGAAGUGCGAAUGCUGACAUAAGUAACGAUAAAGCGGGUGAAAAGCCCGCUCGCCGGAAGACCAAGGGUUCCUGUCCAACGUUAAUCGGGGCAGGGUGAGUCGACCCCUAAGGCGAGGCCGAAAGGCGUAGUCGAUGGGAAACGGGUUAAUAUUCCCGUACUUGGUGUUACUGCGAAGGGGGGACGGAGAAGGCUAUGUUGGCCGGGCGACGGUUGUCCCGGUUUAAGCGUGUAGGCUGGUUUUCCAGGCAAAUCCGGAAAAUCAAGGCUGAGGCGUGAUGACGAGGCACUACGGUGCUGAAGCAACAAAUGCCCUGCUUCCAGGAAAAGCCUCUAAGCAUCAGGUAACAUCAAAUCGUACCCCAAACCGACACAGGUGGUCAGGUAGAGAAUACCAAGGCGCUUGAGAGAACUCGGGUGAAGGAACUAGGCAAAAUGGUGCCGUAACUUCGGGAGAAGGCACGCUGACACGUAGGUGAAGUGAUUUACUCAUGGAGCUGAAGUCAGUCGAAGAUACCAGCUGGCUGCAACUGUUUAUUAAAAACACAGCACUGUGCAAACACGAAAGUGGACGUAUACGGUGUGACGCCUGCCCGGUGCCGGAAGGUUAAUUGAUGGGGUCAGCGCAAGCGAAGCUCCUGAUCGAAGCCCCGGUAAACGGCGGCCGUAACUAUAACGGUCCUAAGGUAGCGAAAUUCCUUGUCGGGUAAGUUCCGACCUGCACGAAUGGCGUAAUGAUGGCCAGGCUGUCUCCACCCGAGACUCAGUGAAAUUGAACUCGCUGUGAAGAUGCAGUGUACCCGCGGCAAGACGGAAAGACCCCGUGAACCUUUACUAUAGCUUGACACUGAACAUUGAGCCUUGAUGUGUAGGAUAGGUGGGAGGCUUUGAAGUGUGGACGCCAGUCUGCAUGGAGCCGACCUUGAAAUACCACCCUUUAAUGUUUGAUGUUCUAACGUGGACCCGUAAUCCGGGUUGCGGACAGUGUCUGGUGGGUAGUUUGACUGGGGCGGUCUCCUCCUAAAGAGUAACGGAGGAGCACGAAGGUUGGCUAAUCCUGGUCGGACAUCAGGAGGUUAGUGCAAUGGCAUAAGCCAGCUUGACUGCGAGCGUGACGGCGCGAGCAGGUGCGAAAGCAGGUCAUAGUGAUCCGGUGGUUCUGAAUGGAAGGGCCAUCGCUCAACGGAUAAAAGGUACUCCGGGGAUAACAGGCUGAUACCGCCCAAGAGUUCAUAUCGACGGCGGUGUUUGGCACCUCGAUGUCGGCUCAUCACAUCCUGGGGCUGAAGUAGGUCCCAAGGGUAUGGCUGUUCGCCAUUUAAAGUGGUACGCGAGCUGGGUUUAGAACGUCGUGAGACAGUUCGGUCCCUAUCUGCCGUGGGCGCUGGAGAACUGAGGGGGGCUGCUCCUAGUACGAGAGGACCGGAGUGGACGCAUCACUGGUGUUCGGGUUGUCAUGCCAAUGGCACUGCCCGGUAGCUAAAUGCGGAAGAGAUAAGUGCUGAAAGCAUCUAAGCACGAAACUUGCCCCGAGAUGAGUUCUCCCUGAGACUUAGAGUCUCCUGAAGGAACGUUGAAGACGACGACGUUGAUAGGCCGGGUGUGUAAGCGCAGCGAUGCGUUGAGCUAACCGGUACUAAUGAACCGUGAGGCUUAACCUUACAACGCCAAAG